Molecule: ribosomal RNA, 612 nt
Filed under: uncultured bacterium
Lineage: Bacteria
Description: bacterial SSU rRNA
Rfam family: Bacterial small subunit ribosomal RNA
Source: RNAcentral
CCUACGGGAGGCAGCAGUGGGGAAUUUUGGACAAUGGGGGCAACCCUGAUCCAGCAAUGCCGCGUGAGUGAAGAAGGCCUUCGGGUUGUAAAGCUCUUUUGUCAGGGAAGAAACAGCAGCUCUAACACAGCUGUGAAUGACGGUACCUGAAGAAUAAGCACCGGCUAACUACGUGCCAGCAGCCGCGGUAAUACGUAGGGUGCAAGCGUUAAUCGGAAUUACUGGGCGUAAAGCGUGCGCAGGCGGUUAUAUAAGACAGGUGUGAAAUCCCCGGGCUUAACCUGGGAAUUGCAUCUGUGACUGUAUAGCUAGAGUGUGUCAGAGGGGGGUAGAAUUCCACGUGUAGCAGUGAAAUGCGUAGAUAUGUGGAGGAAUACCAAUGGCGAAGGCAGCCCCCUGGGAUAACACUGACGCUCAUGCACGAAAGCGUGGGAGCAAACAGGAUUAGAUACCCUGGUAGUCCACGCCCUAAACGAUGCUGACUAGUUGUUCGGGAUUUUANCCUGAGUAACGUAGCUAACGCGUGAAGUCAGCCGCCUGGGGAAGUCGGUCGCAAGAUUAAAACGCGAAAGAGUGACGNNGAGAGNGCGACGGACGACGACGAGGGAGGAG